UUGUGCAAAGGUAGCAUAAUCAUUAGUCUCUUAAUUGGUGACUUGUAUGAAAGAUUGGAUGAAAUAUAAACUGUCUUAAAAAUAAUUAAUUGAAUUUAAUUUUUUAAUUAAAAAGUUAAAAUAAAUCAAAAAGACGAGAAGACCCUAUAGAGUUUUAUAUUAAAUGAAAUUUAGUUUAUAUAUAAAUUUAUUAAAUUAUAAAUUUUAUUUAAUAUUUUGUUGGGGUGAUAAAAAAAUAAAAAAAACUUUUUUUUAAAUUAUCCAUAAAUAAGUGAUUAUUUGAUCCAUUUUUAUUGAUUAUAAGAAAAAAUUACCUUAGGGAUAACAGCGUAAUUUUUUUUUUUAGUUCUUAUAAGAAAAAAAGUUUGCGACCUCGAUGUUGGAUCAGGACA
This 392-nucleotide ribosomal RNA is filed under the name Antheraea polyphemus (polyphemus moth). Its description in RNAcentral is "partial 16S ribosomal RNA". Lineage: Eukaryota; Metazoa; Arthropoda; Insecta; Lepidoptera; Saturniidae. The record is from RNAcentral.